RNAcentral lists this ribosomal RNA (408 nucleotides) under uncultured bacterium. RNAcentral describes it as "partial 16S ribosomal RNA". It matches the Rfam family "Bacterial small subunit ribosomal RNA", at positions 28 to 526 of the family's 1533-position model. The record is from RNAcentral.
GACGAACGCUGACGGCGUGCUUAACACAUGCAAGUCGAAGGGAGUGGCGAACGGGUGAGUAACACGUGAGUAACCUGCCCUGUUAUUUGUGAUAAGCCUGGGAAACUGGAGCUAAUACUGGAUGGUUUGGGAUGGGCUUGAGGCGUAUAAGAUUGUUGGUGGGGUGAUGGCUUACCAAGGCUUUGACGGUUAGCCGGCCUGAGUGGGUGGUCGGUCACACUGGUACUGAGAUACGGCCCAGACUCCUACGGGAGGCAGCAGUGGGGGAUAUUGCACAAUGGACGAAAGUCUGAUGCAGCGACGUCGUGUGGGGGAUGAAGGCCUUCGGGUUGUAAACUCCUUUCGCCCGCGGAAUGGUAGUGGGUAAAGAAGCGCCGGCUAACUACGUGCCAGCAGCCGCGGUAAUUC